AGGUGAACCUGCGGAAGGAUCAUUACUAGAGCAAAGGAUAGACAGCGCCCGCGGAGCUCGCUCCCGGGGGCUACCCUACUCCCGUAGGGUUUAGAGUCGUCGGGCCUCUCGGAGAAGCUCGGUCCUGAACUCCACCCUUGAAUAAACUACCUUUGUUGCUUUGGCGGGCCGCCUCGUGCCAGCGGCUUCGGCUGUUGAGUGCCCGCCGGAGGACCCCAACUCUUGUUUUUAGUGAUGUCUGAGUACUAUAUAAUAGUUAAAACUUUCAACAACGGAUCUCUUGGUUCUGG
Molecule: unclassified non-coding RNA, 290 nt
Filed under: uncultured fungus
Lineage: Eukaryota; Fungi
Description: partial contains 18S rRNA, ITS1 and 5.8S rRNA
Source: RNAcentral